This 471-nucleotide ribosomal RNA is filed under the name uncultured bacterium. RNAcentral's name for it is "bacterial SSU rRNA". It matches the Rfam family "Bacterial small subunit ribosomal RNA", at positions 127 to 630 of the family's 1533-position model. The record is from RNAcentral.
UACCCUUUUCUACGGAAUAACGCAGGGAAACUUGUGCUAAUACCGUAUGUGUCCUUCGGGAGAAAGAUUUAUCGGGAAAGGAUGAGCCCGCGUUGGAUUAGCUAGUUGGUGGGGUAAAGGCCUACCAAGGCGACGAUCCAUAGCUGGUCUGAGAGGAUGAUCAGCCACAUUGGGACUGAGACACGGCCCAAACUCCUACGGGAGGCAGCAGUGGGGAAUAUUGGACAAUGGGCGCAAGCCUGAUCCAGCCAUGCCGCGUGAGUGAUGAAGGCCCUAGGGUUGUAAAGCUCUUUCACCGGAGAAGAUAAUGACGGUAUCCGGAGAAGAACCCCCGGCUAACUUCGUGCCAGCAGCCGCGGUAAUACGAAGGGGGCUAGCGUUGUUCGGAAUUACUGGGCGUAAAGCGCACGUAGGCGGAUCGAUCAGUCAGGGGUGAAAUCCCAGGGGCUCAACCCUGAGAACUGCCUUUGA